UACGAAGGGGGCUAGCGUUGCUCGGAAUCACUGGGCGUAAAGCGCACGUAGGCGGAUUGCUAAGUCAGGGGUGAAAUCCUGGAGCUCAACUCCAGAACUGCCUUUGAUACUGGCGAUCUUGAGUCCGGGAGAGGUGAGUGGAACUGCGAGUGUAGAGGUGAAAUUCGUAGAUAUCUGGAGGAACACCGGUGGCGAAGGCGGCAUCCUGGACCGGUAUUGACGCUGAGGCGCGAAAGCCAGGGGAGCAAACGGG
RNAcentral lists this ribosomal RNA (253 nucleotides) under uncultured bacterium. RNAcentral describes it as "partial 16S ribosomal RNA". It matches the Rfam family "Bacterial small subunit ribosomal RNA", at positions 524 to 776 of the family's 1533-position model. The record is from RNAcentral.